Molecule: ribosomal RNA, 497 nt
Filed under: uncultured bacterium
Lineage: Bacteria
Description: partial 16S ribosomal RNA
Rfam family: Bacterial small subunit ribosomal RNA
Source: RNAcentral
GAUGAACGCUGGCGGCGUGCCUAAUACAUGCAAGUCGAGCGAACAGACGAGGAGCUUGCUCCUCUGACGUUAGCGGCGGACGGGUGAGUAACACGUGGAUAACCUACCUAUAAGACUGGGAUGACUUCGGGAAACCGGAGCUAAUACCGGAUAAUAUAUUGAACUGCAUGGUUCAAUAGUGAAAGACGGUUUUGCUGUCACUUAUAGAUGGAUCCGCGCCGCAUUAGCUAGUUGGUAAGGUAACGGCUUACCAAGGCAACGAUGCGUAGCCGACCUGAGAGGGUGAUCGGCCACACUGGAACUGAGACACGGUCCAGACUCCUACGGGAGGCAGCAGUAGGGAAUCUUCCGCAAUGGGCGAAAGCCUGACGGAGCAACGCCGCGUGAGUGAUGAAGGUCUUCGGAUCGUAAAACUCUGUUAUUAGGGAAGAACAAAUGUGUAAGUAACUAUGCACGUCUUGACGGUACCUAAUCAGAAAGCCACGGCUAACUACGUG